UACGUAGGGGGCAAGCGUUGUCCGGAAUCAUUGGGCGUAAAGGGCUCGUAGGCGGCCAACUAAGUCGGAUGUGAAAUCCCCAGGCUCAACCUGGGAACUGCAUCCGAUACUGGAUGGCUUGAAUCCGGGAGAGGGAUGCAGAAUUCCAGGUGUAGCGGUGAAAUGCGUAGAUAUCUGGAGGAAUACCGGUGGCGAAGGCGGCAUCCUGGACCGGCAUUGACGCUGAGGAGCGAAAGCUAGGGGAGCAAACGGG
This 253-nucleotide ribosomal RNA is filed under the name uncultured bacterium. RNAcentral's name for it is "partial 16S ribosomal RNA". It matches the Rfam family "Bacterial small subunit ribosomal RNA", at positions 524 to 776 of the family's 1533-position model. The record is from RNAcentral.